Herpailurus yagouaroundi (jaguarundi) is the source of this 1871-nucleotide long non-coding RNA. RefSeq lists it as uncharacterized. The record is from RefSeq and is a predicted model, not a curated record. The transcript has 2 exons. Lineage: Eukaryota; Metazoa; Chordata; Mammalia; Carnivora; Felidae.
UUCUGAGAGAAUGAUUUGAUCUAUGGUUCAGGAACAGAAGGAUUACUGAGGAAUUUUGUAUGUUCUCAGAGUGCCUUUCUAUUUCAGGAGGAAAAGAAGACAAAUUCCGUUUCACAGAAGCGAGUGGAACUAUACCAGAGGGUUGCUUAUGGAGCAAAGAAGUGAAUUUUCACUCUAAACCACGCUGGCUGUGUUCAUAAAUAUUGAAGGUGGAAUGAAAACGAUUUAGAAAGCAGAAACAAUGUUUGCGAUCGAAUUCUAAGAAACUGAUGCAGACAUGUGAUUGAAAAUAUUUCAGCUGUGUGAAGGCCUAUAUUAAUUUCUGCAUGAUAACAUUUGUUUCCAGAGUUUCCUGCCGAGAUUAGAGACUUAUUCCAGCACGUACCAGCAUAAUGUCAUAGAAGAUUGACUCUGUGCGAUGCUCUGUGACGAAAGGUCUCGAGAUUAAACCAGCUUGAUAAUAACCUGCUAAAGGAAGAGUAAUAAAACUAUACAUAUCGAACUCUUGCAGCUCACUAUUGAAAAGACAAACAACCCAAUUAAAAGGUGGGCCAAGGAUCUGAGUAGACAUUUCUCCAAAGAAGUUAUAUGAACGAUCAAAACGCAAAUAAAAACUGCUCACCAUCGUUAAUCCAUUAGGGAAAUGCAAACCACAACUACAAUAAGAAACCACCUGACAUUAGAAAUGCUAUCCUGAAAAAGACAAGGGUUGGUGAGAAGAUGGAGAAACUGGAAAUGGCAUAUACACUGCUAUUAAGGAAUGUAAAAUUCUACAGCUGCCUUGGAACACAGUCUGGCAGGUCCUCAAAGAGUUAAACAUAGAAUUUCUCUGUGACCCAGCAAUUCCCCUCCUAGGAAUUGCCCAAGAGAAAUGAAAACACAUAUUCACACAAAAAUGUGUACACGGUCACAGCAGCAUUCUGUGUAAUCGCCCCAACACAAAAACAACCCAAACGUCCAUCAACUGAUGAAUGGAUAAACGACGUGUGGUGCAUCCUUACAACAGAAUAUUAUUCAGCGAUAAAAAGAAAUAAAGUGCUGACACGUGCAAGAACUUAGAUGUACCUUGAAAACAUCACGCUAAGUGAAAGAAGCCAGUUACAAAGGACCACCUGCUGCAUGAUUCCACUUAACACGAAACGUCUAGAGUAGUAGGUAAAUCUGUAGAGGCAGAAAAUAGACUCAUGGUGGCUUAGGUCCCGGGUGGUGUUUACAAAAAUUGGGGGUGAUGGCUAAGGGAUGCAGUGUCUCCUUCACAAUUCUGUAAUUGAUUGUGGUAACGUAUACACAACUCUGUGACUGUAGUAAAAGUGACUGAACUGUACUUACGUGGGUGAAUUGUAUGGUAUGUGUAUUACAUCUCACUAAAGCUGUUAAAAAAAAAAAAAAGGUACAAUUUGUGUUAGAUCGUGAAGGAUCCUGUAGGCCAGUGAUGAGAGGUUUGGUGUCACUGUGGAGAAGAAACAGAGCCGUGGCACCCCUGCUGGCCCCAAAUAUCCUCUGCCAGAUAAAAUCCACUGCUGCUCAUCGGGCUAAUCGAUGAGUCACCGCUCUGGCCAGGACUACAUACCCCUCUGUCUAUCCUAUAAAACAAGUGUCUGUGUUGGUCCCAGGCAUCUCAGUCUCUCGGGCCUCUCUGCUCAAACCUCGUCUUUGGUCCCUGUAGCCACACCAUCAGCAGAGAAGGUGGUUGGGGUAGGGAGAGGGGUGCCCAUGAACAUUGCAUAAUCCGUGCUUCAGAUGGUAAGAUCGUUCCCUCCACCUGGCUCACCACCUUUCCUAAAUAUGUUAGACCACCCCAUCCCUUUCCCUUGGUUUCUUGCUGGGUAUUUUAAAUUGAUUUAAUAAAUGAUGUGAUUUGCACAUGUUAA